Molecule: long non-coding RNA, 235 nt
Organism: Mytilus trossulus (common blue mussel)
Lineage: Eukaryota; Metazoa; Mollusca; Bivalvia; Mytilida; Mytilidae
Exons: 3
Source: RefSeq, a predicted model, not a curated record
GUCAAGUAUCAUGUCGAUGUUGAAUAAGAAACACUGAUUUGGAUAGCCCGGUGUUGAUAUUUUGUAUAAGUUUCGGUACAGACUGACAAAAGCAGGAAAGAUAGAUCAUCAAAUUUCUGGAGCCCAGCUUUGGACUCAUCUGAAGACGAAAAUCAACAAGGAGAAAGCCAAACACAUAUGCUGGAUGCAAGUGAGGUUGAUAUAAACAAAGCAUCUGCUUGGGUUUCACCAAAAA